AGUGAACGCUGGCGGUAGGCCUAACACAUGCAAGUCGAACGGCAGCACAGUAAGAGCUUGCUCUUACGGGUGGCGAGUGGCGGACGAGUGAGGAAUACAUCGGAAUCUACUUUUUCGUGGGGGAUAACGUAGGGAAACUUACGCUAAUACCGCAUACGACCUACGGGUGAAAGCAGGGGAUCUUCGGACCUUGCGCGAUUGAAUGAGCCGAUGUCGGAUUAGCUAGUUGGCGGGGUAAAGGCCCACCAAGGCGACGAUCCGUAGCUGGUCUGAGAGGAUGAUCAGCCACACUGGAACUGAGACACGGUCCAGACUCCUACCGGAGGCAGCAGUGGGGAAUAUUGGACAAUGGGCGCAAGCCUGAUCCAGCCAUACCGCGUGGGUGAAGAAGGCCUUCGGGUUGUAAAGCCCUUUUGUUGGGAAAGAAAAGCAGCAGGUUAAUACCCCGCUGUUCUGACGGUACCCAAAGAAUAAGCACCGGCUAACUUCGUG
This 492-nucleotide ribosomal RNA is filed under the name uncultured bacterium. RNAcentral's name for it is "partial 16S ribosomal RNA". It matches the Rfam family "Bacterial small subunit ribosomal RNA", at positions 29 to 507 of the family's 1533-position model. The record is from RNAcentral.